Non-coding RNA from Tulasnella sp. JGI-2019a, 88 nucleotides. The record is from the annotation of a GenBank genome assembly. Lineage: Eukaryota; Fungi; Basidiomycota; Agaricomycetes; Cantharellales; Tulasnellaceae.
GGCCUGAUGGUCUAGUAGUAUGAUUCGCCCUUAGGGUUCCUAGAGAAUGCAUUGGGCGAGGUCCUGGGUUCAAUUCCCAGUUAGGCCC